This 264-nucleotide ribosomal RNA is filed under the name uncultured bacterium. Its description in RNAcentral is "partial 16S ribosomal RNA". It matches the Rfam family "Bacterial small subunit ribosomal RNA", at positions 524 to 783 of the family's 1533-position model. The record is from RNAcentral.
UACGGGGGGAGCAAGCGUUGUUCGGAUUUACUGGGCGUAAAGGGCGCGUAGGCGGUCGUGACAAGUCACUUGUGAAAUCUCCGGGCUUAACUCGGAACGGUCAAGUGAUACUGUCGGACUAGAGUACAGAAGGGGCAACUGGAAUUCUCGGUGUAGCGGUGAAAUGCGUAGAGAUUGGAAAGAACACCGAUGGCGAAGGCACUUUACUGGGCUAUUACUAACACUCAGAGACGAAAGCUAGGGUAGCAAAUAGGGGAUUAAGAU